AUACGAAGGGUGCAAGCGUUAAUCGGAAUUACUGGGCGUAAAGCGCGCGUAGGUGGUUCGUUAAGUUGGAUGUGAAAGCCCCGGGCUCAACCUGGGAACUGCAUCCAAAACUGGCGAGCUAGAGUAUAGCAGAGGGUGGUGGAAUUUCCUGUGUAGCGGUGAAAUGCGUAGAUAUAGGAAGGAACACCAGUGGCGAAGGCGACCACCGGGGCUAAUACGGGCACUGAGGUGCGAAAGCGGGGGGAGCAAACAGGAUUAGAUCCCCUGGUAGUCCACGCCGUAAACGAUGUCGACUAGCCGUUGGGAUCCUUGAGAUCUUAGUGGCGCAGCUAACGCAUUAAGUCGACCGCCUGGGGAGUACGGCCGCAAGGUUAAAACUCAAAUGAAUUGACGGGG
This 396-nucleotide ribosomal RNA is filed under the name uncultured bacterium. Its description in RNAcentral is "partial 16S ribosomal RNA". It matches the Rfam family "Bacterial small subunit ribosomal RNA", at positions 523 to 918 of the family's 1533-position model. The record is from RNAcentral.